GACGAACGCUGGCGGCGUGCUUAACACAUGCAAGUCGAACGGAAAGGCCUCUUCGGAGGUACUCGAGUGGCGAACGGGUGAGUAACACGUGGGUGAUCUGCCCUGCACUCUGGGAUAAGCCUGGGAAACUGGGUCUAAUACCGGAUAGGACCAUGCUUUAGUGUGUGUGGUGGAAAGUUUUUUCGGUGUAGGAUGAGCCCGCGGCCUAUCAGCUUGUUGGUGGGGUAAUGGCCUACCAAGGCGGCGACGGGUAGCCGGACUGAGAGGUUGGUGGGCCACAUUGGGACUGCGAUACGUCCCAGACUCCUACGGGAGGCAGCAGUGGGGAAUAUUGCACAAUGGGCGCAAGCCUGAUGCAGCGACGCCGCGUGGGGGAUGACGGCCUUCGGGUUGUAAACUCCUUUCGCCAGGGACGAAGCGUUUUGUGACGGUACCUGGAGAAGAAGCACCGGCUAACUACGUGCCAGCCGCCGCCGUAA
Molecule: ribosomal RNA, 479 nt
Filed under: uncultured bacterium
Lineage: Bacteria
Description: partial 16S ribosomal RNA
Rfam family: Bacterial small subunit ribosomal RNA
Source: RNAcentral